Molecule: unclassified non-coding RNA, 234 nt
Filed under: plant metagenome
Description: partial contains small subunit ribosomal RNA, internal transcribed spacer 1, and 5.8S ribosomal RNA
Source: RNAcentral
UUUCCGUAGGUGAACCCGCGGAAGGAUCAUUACAGUAGUCACCCAGGUUGCCGCAAGGCCUCCUGGGUAACCUACCACCCUUUGUUUAUUACACUUUGUUGCUUUGGCAAGCCUGCCCUCGGGCUGCUGGCUCCGGCCGGCGAGCGCUUGCCAGAGGACCUAAACUCUGUUUGUCUAUACUGUCUGAGUACUAUAUAAUAGUUAAAACUUUCAACAACGGAUCUCUUGGUUCUG